This 793-nucleotide unclassified non-coding RNA is filed under the name Plectosphaerella plurivora. Its description in RNAcentral is "sequence contains 28S rRNA gene". It matches the Rfam family "Eukaryotic large subunit ribosomal RNA", at positions 83 to 900 of the family's 3401-position model. The record is from RNAcentral. Lineage: Eukaryota; Fungi; Ascomycota; Sordariomycetes; Glomerellales; Plectosphaerellaceae.
GUAACGGCGAGUGAAGCGGCAACAGCUCAAAUUUGAAAUCUGGCUCCUUCGGGGUCCGAGUUGUAAUUUGCAGAGGAUGCGUCGGGUACGGGUCCCUACCGAGUUCCCUGGAACGGGACGCCAUAGAGGGUGAGAGCCCCGUCUGGUAGGAUACCCAGCCCAUGUGACGCUCCCUCGACGAGUCGAGUAGUUUGGGAAUGCUGCUCUAACGGGAGGUAUACUCCUUCCAAAGCUAAAUACCGGCUGGAGACCGAUAGCGCACAAGUAGAGUGAUCGAAAGAUGAAAAGCACUUUGAAAAGAGAGUCAAACAGCACGUGAAAUUGUUAAAAGGGAAGCACUCGCUACCAGACUUGGGUUUGGCGGUUCAACCGGGGCCACGCCCCGGGGCAUUCCGCCAGCUCAGGCCAGCAUCAGCUUUCCGUCGGGGGCAAAGACGUCGGGAAUGUGGCUCCCCUUCGGGGGAGUGUUAUAGCCCGGCGUGUCAUACCCUUCGGGGGGCUGAGGUACGCGCUUCUGCAAGGAUGCUGGCGUAAUGGUAGCUAGUGACCCGUCUUGAAACACGGACCAAGGAGUCAACCUUAUGUGCGAGUGCCCGGGCGUAAAACCCCAGCGCGGAAUGAAAGUGAACGUAGGUGAGAGCUUCGGCGCAUCACCGACCGAUCCUGAUGUCCUCGGACGGAUUUGAGUGAGAGCAUAUAGGGUUGGACCCGAAAGAAGAUGAACUAUGCGUGUGUAGGGUGAAGCCAGAGGAAACUCUGGUGGAGGCUCGCAGCGGUUCUGACGUGCAAAUCG